This 258-nucleotide ribosomal RNA is filed under the name uncultured bacterium. RNAcentral's name for it is "partial 16S ribosomal RNA". It matches the Rfam family "Bacterial small subunit ribosomal RNA", at positions 524 to 777 of the family's 1533-position model. The record is from RNAcentral.
UACGAAGGGGGGCUAGCGUUGCUCGGAAUUACUGGGCGUAAAGCGCACGUAGGCGGUCUUUUUAAGUCGAGGGUGAAAUCCUGGAGCUCAACUCCAGAACUGCCUUUCGAUACUGGAAGACUUGAGUCCGGGAGAGGUGAGUGGAACUGCGAGUGUAGAGGUGAAAUUCGUAGAUAUUCGCAAGAACACCAGUGGCGAAGGCGGCUCACUGGCCCGAUACUGACGCUGAGGCACGAAAGCGUGGGGGAGCAAACAGGG